AGUGAACGCUGGCGAUAGGCCUAACACAUGCAAGUCGAACGGCAGCACAGUAAGAGCUUGCUCUUACGGGUGGCGAGUGGCGGACGGGUGAGGAACACAUCGGAAUCUACUUUUUCGUGGGGGAUAACGUAGGGAAACUUACGCUAAUACCGCAUACGACCUACGGGUGAAAGCAGGGGAUCUUCGGACCUUGCGCGAUUGAAUGAGCCGAUGUCGGAUUAGCUAGUUGGCGGGGUAAAGGCCCACCAAGGCGACGAUCCGUAGCUGGUCUGAGAGGAUGAUCAGCCACACUGGAACUGAGACACGGUCCAGACUCCUACGGGAGGCAGCAGUGGGGAAUAUUGGACAAUGGGCGCAAGCCUGAUCCAGCCAUACCGCGUGGGUGAAGAAGGCCUUCGGGUUGUAAAGCCCUUUUGUUGGGAAAGAAAAGCAGCAGGUUAAUACCCCGCUGUUCUGACGGUACCCAAAGAAUAAGCACCGGCUAACUUCGUG
This 492-nucleotide ribosomal RNA is filed under the name uncultured bacterium. Its description in RNAcentral is "partial 16S ribosomal RNA". It matches the Rfam family "Bacterial small subunit ribosomal RNA", at positions 29 to 507 of the family's 1533-position model. The record is from RNAcentral.